GAUGAACGCUGGCGGCGUGCUUAACACAUGCAAGUCGAACGGGACAUACUUCAUUGAGACUUCGGUGGAUUUGAUUUAUUUAUAGUGGCGGACGGGUGAGUAACGCGUGGGUAACCUGCCUUAUACAGGGGGAUAAAAGUCAGAAAUGACUGCUAAUACUGCAUAAGCGCACAGGACCGCAAGGUCCGGUGUGAAAAACUACGGUGGUAGAAGAUGGAGCCGAGUUGGAUUAGCAUGUUGGGGGGGUAACGGCCCACCAAGGCGACGAUCAAUAGCCUGCCUGAGAGGGUGAGCGGCCACAUUGGGACUGAGACACGGCCCAGACUCCUACGGGAGGCAGCAGUGGGGAAUAUUGCACAAUGGGGGAAACCCUGAUGCAGCGACGCCGCGUGUAGGAAGAAGUAUCUCGGUAUGUAAACUUCUAUCAGCAGGGAAGAUAGUGACGGUACCUGACUAAGAAGCCCCGGCUAACUACGUGCCAGCCGCCGCAGUAA
Molecule: ribosomal RNA, 494 nt
Filed under: uncultured bacterium
Lineage: Bacteria
Description: partial 16S ribosomal RNA
Rfam family: Bacterial small subunit ribosomal RNA
Source: RNAcentral